AAAAGUCGGGCUUGUGGAAGGAGUAGGUGGGAGGGGGUGGGAACAGCAGAGAGGGGCGAGGCAGGGCCAGCCCUGGGAAGCUGGAGGAAGAGGCAGUUUUCCAUUCUCCACUCGGGCCCCGCUGGCCGCUUGACAAGUCUAUGAAUAACGCGUUAGUGAUCUGAAGCUUUGACUGCUCUGGGAUGUGGAAAGAGUCACAAAGAGAUGGGGCAGAAGAUUGUGUGUGGCCCAGGCAAGGAUGGCAGCAAACAGAUCCUCCUAGAAGCCACAUCACCUAUCCUUUUCUGGAAAGAGGAUGCUUUGAUUCGAAAGAGAGCUUAAGUGGACUGCUGUGCCCUGUGGAUUUGGAGCAUCGCGAGAAGCCACAGAGGAGUUAUCAACAUCCUUUCUGAGAAAGAUGGGGGAGUCAACAGCCUGAACCCUGAGGGUUUGUGAGGAGGGCAGGACAUCUGCCUCUGCUCUGCCAAGAACAAGGUGCAUGCCUCCAGUGAAAGUGUCCGUGUCGAGCUGAUCCACUCUCCUCCUCUGAGGGCCUAAGACAGAGGGACUUCCUGUGGCCACACCCAGCUGCUGCACACACCUGCUCUGCUGCUUCUUAGAUCAGCCUGGGCCAAGGCACCACCUGACCUGGGGUGAGGUCAUCGACCUGGGCGCCAGGAGACCUGGCUGGAGGGUAAUUGUCUCCCCCGGACCCUGCUUGACUCAUGAAGUCAGGUCUCCAAUGGCACAGCCUUCAUGAAGCCGGGAGGUAUUCCAGGGGAUUAAGUAUAUUCCAGGCUGCACGGUGUUAAGAACAGUCCUGGCAUGAAGUGUGCUCUGAGUAUGUGUUUGUUAAAUAAAGCCUAGGAGGAAAUAGCUCCAAAUCUCCCUUGCUUGGUGCUGGGAGAGAGGGUCCUUAGAACUCAUCUGGUACAGAGGUUUCAAACUGCUUUUAGCUGGAGAAUUCUUUCAUUGUUGUUAUUAUUGUUGUUGUCUUCCAAAGGAAUCUCAUUUGGAGUUUUGAAUGUGAAACAGAUAAAAAUGAAAGGCUGAUAUAAAGGAGGCGGGGUGGGAUUUAAUGCUCUCUUGCUGCAGGGAUUUCUGGGACUCUGGAGGCCAGGUUAUGAACCCCUGAUCUCAUUUUGUGCCUUCAUAAUGUAAGAGAGGGGAUAGCAUUCCAGGCAGUAGGAUAGAGUGUGCAUAAGUCCAUGCAGUGAGCUGGGCAGAGUGAACCCCAAGGAGCCUGACUCCCAGCCUUGGAUUAAAAGGCUGACGAUGCAGGACCUUCUGAUGUCUAUGGGCACAGUCAUACCCAGUUUCUCUGGAUCUUUGUAAAGCAGCCAGGGGUGUUUACUGUUGGGGCCUUAGACAGGAAGCCAAGGCCAGGCCAUUUGACAGCUUGAGAGCUCUCUGCAUGCCUCAGCUAGUUUGUGACAUUAACUGUAUCUGGUGGGAUCUGGUACCUGCCACAGACUCCCCAUGCACAGACCACUUUGGAGGUACAUAUCCUAUGGGAUUGGUUCAGCACUCUGCCUUUGUGUUCCCUGCUGAACCUCAAUGUCACCAGUGUCACAUACUCAGGAAACACUGCAGAAAGAAGGAUGACAACCCUGAAUUAUGUGCUCCCCACUUCCUGCUCACAAAGGAGUUAUCACACAUUCAUACAGAGACCCCUGGCUUUAUUGAGCACUUAGUACACAUUGCAAACUUCUUAAGCGGAUUCAUCAUUUAUUCUUUACAGAAGCUCCAAUGUAAUAUUAAAACAAAAACAAAAAUAAAAAACAACCCACAGCAAAGAGACAUUAAAUACCUUCCCAAGAUGGGAAGGUUGGAGAGGUGAGAUGGGCAUUUGGCACAUGUCCUCUUAGUCACCACUCAUGGGGACCUACAUCUGUUUUGUCAAGGAGAGACACAGUGGCGAUGUACAGAUGGGUACCACAGAAGCAGAGGGAGUGAUGGGCUACACAGCUCAAAGGUAGUGCUGAGGUAUUCAGAUGUCUGGCUUACUACAAACAGGACUUUAGGAGUAUGUCUUCUGUGAGCAUUCCUGGUACUUCCAACAAGCAGAGGAAGCUCUAUCCCCAUCUUCUCCUUCCCUCCC
Molecule: long non-coding RNA, 2080 nt
Organism: Mus musculus (house mouse)
Lineage: Eukaryota; Metazoa; Chordata; Mammalia; Rodentia; Muridae
Product: predicted gene, 33655
Exons: 5
Source: RefSeq, a predicted model, not a curated record